Molecule: ribosomal RNA, 473 nt
Filed under: uncultured Bacillus sp.
Lineage: Bacteria; Bacillati; Bacillota; Bacilli; Caryophanales; Bacillaceae
Description: bacterial SSU rRNA
Rfam family: Bacterial small subunit ribosomal RNA
Source: RNAcentral
UUGACGGGGCCCGCACAAGCGGUGGAGCAUGUGGUUUAAUUCGACGCAACGCGAAGAACCUUACCAGGGCUUGACAUCCCCUGACCGCGUAUGAAAGUACGUUUCCACCCUCGGGUGACAGGGAGACAGGUGGUGCAUGGUUGUCGUCAGCUCGUGUCGUGAGAUGUUGGGUUAAGUCCCGCAACGAGCGCAACCCCUACGUUUAGUUGCUAACGCGUGAAGGCGAGCACUCUAGACGAACUGCCGUUGACAAAACGGAGGAAGGUGGGAUGACGUCAAAUCAUCAUGCCCCUUAUGUUCUGGGCUACACACGUGCUACAAUGGCCGGUACAGACGGACGCAAAGCCGCGAGGUGGAGCAAAUCCUAAAAAGCCGGUCUCAGUUCGGAUUGCAGGCUGCAAUUCGCCUGCAUGAAGUCGGAAUCGCUAGUAAUCGCAGGUCAGCAUACUGCGGUGAAUACGUUCCCGGGCCUU